RNAcentral lists this long non-coding RNA (1221 nucleotides) under Homo sapiens (human). Its description in RNAcentral is "HSALNT0365146". Lineage: Eukaryota; Metazoa; Chordata; Mammalia; Primates; Hominidae. The record is from RNAcentral.
CCGGCUUACAGUUUCAUUCCGUGACUAGCCCUCCCCCACCUGCCCAGCAAUUUACUCUUAAAAAGGUGGCUGGAGCUAAAGGCAUAGUCAAGGUUAAUGCUCCUUUUUCUUUAUCCCAAAUCAGAUAGCGUUUAGGCUCUUUUUCAUCAAAUAUAAAAAACCCAGCCCAGUUCAUGGCUCGUUCGGCAGCAACCCUGAGAUGCUUUACAGCCCUAGACCUAAAAGGUCAAAAGGCUGUAUUAUUCUCAAUAUACAUUUUAUUACUCAAUCUGCUCCCGACAUUAAAUAAAACUCCAAAAAUUAAAUUCCAGCCCUCAAACCCCACAACAGGAUUUAAUUAACCUCACCUUCAAGGUGUACAAUAAUAGAAAAAAGUCGCAAUUCCUUGCCUUUACUGUGAGACAAACCCCAGCCACAUCUCCAGCCCACAAGAACUUCCAAACGCCUAAACCGCAGUGGCCAGGCGUUCCUCCAGAACCUCCUCCCCCAGGAACUUGCUACAAGUGCCAGAAAUCUGACCACCAGGCCGAGGAAUGCCUGCAGCCCAGGAUUCCUCCUAAGCCGUGUCCCAUCUGCGCGGGACCCCACUGGAAAUCGGACUGUUCAACUCACCUGGCAGCCACUCCCAGAACCCCUGGAAUUCUGGCCCAAGGCUCUCUGACUGACUCCUUCUCGGCUUAGCAGCUGAAGACUGAUGCUGCCUGAUCGCCUUGGAAGCCCCGUAGACCAUCGCGGAUGCCGAGCUUUAAGUAAUCUCACAGUGGAGGACAGGAAUGUCAGCCCUCUGGGCCCAAGCUAAGCCAUCAUAUCCCCUGUGACCUGCACGUACACAUCCAGAUGGCUGGUUGCUGCCUUAACUGAUGACAAUCCACCACAAAAGAAGUGAAAAUGGCCCGUUCCUGCCUUAACUGAUGACAUUGUCUUGUGAAAUUCCUUCUCCUGGCUCAUCCUGGCUCAAAAGCUCCCCCACUGAGCACCUUGUGACCCCCACUCCUGCCUGCCAGAGAACAACCCCCUUUGACUGUAAUUUUCCUUUAUCUACCCAAAUCUUAUAAAAUGGCCCCACCCCUAUCUCUCUUCACUGACUCUCUUUUUGGACUCAGCCUGCCUGCACCCAAGUGAUUAAAAGCUUUAUUGCUCACACAAAGCCUGUUUGGUGGUCUCUUUACACGGACGUGCAUGAAAGUGGCCGGGCACAGUGGCUCAGGCCUGUAAUCCCAG